RNAcentral lists this long non-coding RNA (243 nucleotides) under Apteryx rowi (Okarito brown kiwi). RNAcentral's name for it is "lncRNA (ENSARWG00000009637.1)". Lineage: Eukaryota; Metazoa; Chordata; Aves; Apterygiformes; Apterygidae. The record is from RNAcentral.
AGAAGAGGCACACCACGACGUGCCAGGCUUCGAGCUGGGAGAAGAAAAGUCUACAGGACAGAGAAAUUCUCCAAGCAGUAGGACUUCCCCAAGCACUGUCCUCCAAGAAACCAGCCUUGCAGAAAUGACAUCCCAGAGGAUUGCCAACCAGCUGCAYGGAACCAUUGCCUUGGUGAGACCUGGCUCGAGACCGUGCCUCCUGGAAAAAAGUCCUCCAGGGGCUGCACCGUCCCCAUCGGCAAG